GCGGAGGGAUCAUUACUGAGUGAGGGCCUUCGGGCUCGACCUCCAACCCUUUGUGAACACAACUUGUUGCUUCGGGGGCGACCCUGCCGUUUCGACGGCGAGCGCCCCCGGAGGCCUUCAAACACUGCAUCUUUGCGUCGGAGUUUAAGUAAAUUAAACAAAACUUUCAACAACGGAUCUCUUGGUUCUGGCAUCGAUGAAGAACGCAGCGAAAUGCGAUAAGUAAUGUGAAUUGCAGAAUUCAGUGAAUCAUCGAAUCUUUGAACGCACAUUGCGCCCUCUGGUAUUCCGGAGGGCAUGCCUGUUCGAGCGUCAUUUCACCACUCAAGCCUGGCUUGGUAUUGGGCGCCGCGGUGUUCCGCGCGCCUCAAAGUCUCCGGCUGAGCUGUCCGUCUCCAAGCGUUGUGAUUUCAUUAAUCGCUUCGGGGUGCGGGCGGCCGCGGCCGUUAAAUCUUUCACAAGGUUGACCUCGGAUCAGGUAGGGAUACCCGCUG
RNAcentral lists this ribosomal RNA (494 nucleotides) under Sphaerulina azaleae. RNAcentral describes it as "eukaryotic LSU rRNA". The stretch from base 162 to 315 matches the Rfam family "5.8S ribosomal RNA". The record is from RNAcentral. Lineage: Eukaryota; Fungi; Ascomycota; Dothideomycetes; Mycosphaerellales; Mycosphaerellaceae.